Molecule: long non-coding RNA, 2965 nt
Organism: Triticum aestivum (bread wheat)
Lineage: Eukaryota; Viridiplantae; Streptophyta; Magnoliopsida; Poales; Poaceae
Exons: 3
Source: RefSeq, a predicted model, not a curated record
CUUUUCCAUCCCACUAGAAAAAAAAGGUGAAGAAAUAAACCAGCGACCCCUACCUAGCCGCCGCACCCCACCCCGCCCCUCCUCUUCCAUCUCGAUCCAAUCUUCCUCUCCCCUCACCAUGCCGCCGCCGCCCAGCCCUGGCGCGCAACGAGCUUGCUUGCUCGCACCGAUGUCGGCCACUCCACUCGCCGCCUGCUACCCUCGUCAUUGCAAUGUAUCCCUCUCUGCCCGCACGAAACGCCGAGCAGCCACGACGGUACCCACGCGCCUCGGCCAUGACAACCUCGAUAUCCAUGGCAAGGUGGCCGGCGGCUGGCGGAGGUCAGGUUGAGCAGCUGGGAUUUGGUGGCCGGUCGGCGAGGCACUGAAGGAGGAUGUCCCAGGCCUCAGGAGUUCGGAGGCGAGGUCAGGUGGCGGCACGACGAGCUAAUGGAAGGGGCGUGAGGGUGCAGACCUGGCCGGAGGAGGUCGGGCCAGAGCCGGGGGGCAUAGAGGGCAGCCGGUUCAUGGGGGGCCAGGCCUGGCAGGGUGGUUCGCGACCCAAGAUCGGCCACAGGCUAAGGCCGACGAGCGAGGUAAAUUUAUUGUCCGUUUACAUAGGGCUAGAGCAAGAUCGGCCACAUGCUUUGGUGGGACUUAUCUGAUUCUUCACACAAUCUGCAAGCUGUCCAGAGGUUGAAUAACACUAGCGAUUAUCUCUCACACACCAGCAAUUUCUCAAUAUAUAGUGCCGUUUUGAUUAGAUAAGUUUGUGUCGGUUUUACAUGGCACUUAUCUCUGGCUCACAGACACUUCCAUGGACCUUUGCUACUGCUAACAGUCUGUAUUGUACACUCCGACGUCCACAACCAAAUCAAGGACGGGAGUUUGCGAGGCACUGAAGCACAGCGCAAGGGCACCAUCUCCAUGGCCAACUCCGGGACCAAGGCGAUCGACAUUUUCUUGGCUGGUCCAUGGUGAUUGCUCCCAUGUCUCUGUUAUUUUUUGUUCUUUACAAAAUUUGCUUCUAUAAUAUCAUCAUUUAGUGAAUUUUACCUACCUACACGAGAUAUGACUGGCGCUUCCCUAUUCUCUAAGGUAAUGUAUCAAUUUGCUGCUUAGUUAGGAAGAGGAUGAAUCAUGUUGGAUUUGCAGCGAGAGGAAGCUUGUCGACUUGAUGAACAGGGUAAUGUUUACUGAGGGCGGCUCGGCAAGGAGGAGACCGGAUGUUUGUCGUUGACCUACUUUGGAAGUGAGCUUAUUUAUCUCAUCUGGUCGUUGUUUCCCCUUGAUUAACUUUAGAUGGGGAAGCUUGAUCUCAUAAUGUCCAUGGAGAUAAAGCGGCUCGGACAAAGCAAAGGAGAAAAUACAUGCCCAAAACUGUUGAUCCUGAUUUUCCGACAAUAAUCACUUCAUAUGAGAUGGCCAUGUUUGAUGCAAAAUUUUCUUGCUAAUUAUAAGUGGAAGUAUGUUGUUGUAGAUGAGGGGCAUCGGUUGAAAAAUGCAAAGUGCAAAUUAUUGAGGGAGUUGAGGCGCAUUUCAAUGGAUAACAAGCUCCUUUUGACUUGAACACCUCUUUAGAAUAAUCUAGCAGACUUGUGGUCGCUACUGAAUUUCAUUUUUCCUGAUAUAUUCUCAUCCCAUGACGAAUUUGAUUCAUGGUUUGAUUUUUCUGGAAGUUUGAUGAGGAACAAGAGGAAGAAACUGAUGAGAAGAAAAGAGUCCUUGUUGUCUCAAAGCUUCAUGCCAUUUUGCGUCCACUCCUUUUAAGGGGGGUGGAGGAGGAUGUAGAAUACAUGCUCCCACGAAAGAAAUAAUCAUAUAUGCUAACAUGACUGAAUAUUAGAAGAAAAUCCAGAGUCACUUGAUUGAGCAGACAUUUGGCAACAACUUGCAUGAGAGUGCAUAUAUUGGUGGAGAGAAGAGGAGCGGGCAAUGCCGUGGAGGAGAAGACAGUGGUGAAAAGAAGGUGCGGGCUGAAUGAAGUGGUGUCAAGGGGAGGCUGCAGUGAGAUGUCGUGGAGGGGAGUGAUGGCAGCGACGACGAUGUGGCGAGGAGAGCAGGCCGGGCUAAUGAGAGUCAGAGAGUGAAAUGCAUUUUUAAGACUAGUAAGCGUGCACGUGCAAAUGCACGUCUCAACUAAUAUAUAUAUAAGAAUUAACAUACUAGAAAGAUAUUUUGAUUGCACUAAAAAGUACUAUUAUAAAUCAAGAAGACACUUCAAUGUAUCAUCGACUCAUUGUAUUCAUAGAGCCAAAAAAUUAUAGCGGUAUUUCCUGAUGAAGCUGAUCAAUUCUCUCAAACAUCCGAAAUGUUGUGUGCAGCUUCACUGUUGAUGUAGUUGAGUAGGUGCACCAAAAAUUGCUUCCUUAUCUGGUCACCAUCCUGAAUGAAAAUAGCAAGUCAAUCUAAGUUUUUGCAUAGUAGAACAUAAAAUCAUGAAAUAAUGAAUAUUGACCCUGCAAAUUGGUAGAUUUAGUUCCUUCGCAUUCCAUGAGUGCAAUAAACUAAAAGCAAAAUAAUCAGACCAGUUCUUGUAGAUAUAUGCAUUAUCAUUAUCUUGAGCGUUAGAAAAACUAAAUAAUAUGCUUUAGUGGUUUGAAAGGUAGUCAGUUGUCUUUGUUUUUUGGAACACGAGCUGGUAAUCGACGACGGCAGAAGAAAAAAAGACAUCAUCCCAUUCAGGAUUUGCUACUUGGGGUGUGCUUUAGGUAUAAUGAGAUGCACAUCUUUCAGAGUUGGAACUCGGUGGGCAUCAACUCUCUUGCGCAUCAUACUAAACACGAGCAAGAAACUUAAGCAUGCGAUAAGAGAGGAAAGAAUUCAGACAAGUUGAUUUAAUUUGGAAAGGCUUAUGCAUCACAUUGAUGCUAUAGACUCCAUAUACCAAGCAUCAUGUCGAAACCACAGUGAGUACUUACAACAUCUUAACAUUAGAACAUUGUACGCAAUAUCCCAUUGAUGUCACAAUCAGUAUAAUGAAACA